UCAUUAAAGAGACGUUGCCCUUCAGGGUAUACCUCCCACCCUUUGUUCACUAUACCUUUGUUGCUUUGGCGGGCCCGUCCUCGGACCACCGGCUUCGGCUGGUCAGCGCCCGCCAGAGGACCUAAAACUCUGUUUGUUCAUAUUGUCUGAGUACUAUAUAAUAGUUAAAACUUUCAACAACGGAUCUCUUGGUUCUGGCAUCGAUGAAGAACGCAGCGAAAUGCGAUAAGUAAUGUGAAUUGCAGAAUUCAGUGAAUCAUCGAAUCUUUGAACGCACAUUGCGCCCGCUAGUAUUCUGGCGGGCAUGCCUGUUCGAGCGUCCUUUGGACCCUCGGGCCCGGGUGGAUUCGUCCCCCAGCGGCCCGGCGUUGGAGGCCCGCGGCUGCCGCGGCCCCCUAAAUACAGUGGCGGACCUCUCCAGGCCCUGGCGUAGUAAACAAUCUCGCCUUCGGCUCCGGAGCAGUGCCUUGCCCCCAGCACCAACUUAUAAGUCUGGACCUCGAAUCAGGUAGGAAUACCCGCUGAACUUAAGCAUAUCAUA
RNAcentral lists this ribosomal RNA (541 nucleotides) under uncultured Pseudeurotium. RNAcentral's name for it is "partial 18S ribosomal RNA". The stretch from base 169 to 322 matches the Rfam family "5.8S ribosomal RNA". Lineage: Eukaryota; Fungi; Ascomycota; Leotiomycetes; Thelebolales; Pseudeurotiaceae. The record is from RNAcentral.